GGGCGUUAAGUUGCAGGGUAUAGACCCGAAACCCGGUGAUCUAGCCAUGGGCAGGUUGAAGGUUGGGUAACACUAACUGGAGGACCGAACCGACUAAUGUUGAAAAAUUAGCGGAUGACCUGUGGCUGGGGGUGAAAGGCCAAUCAAACCGGGAGAUAGCUGGUUCUCCCCGAAAGCUAUUUAGGUAGCGCYUCGUGAAUUCAUCUCCGGGGGUAGAGCACUGUUUCGGCUAGGGGGCCAUCCCGGCUUACCAACCCGAUGCAAACUGCGAAUACCGGAGAAUGUUAUCACGGGAGACACACGGCGGGUGCUAACGUCCGUCGUGAAGAGGGAAACAACCCAGACCGCCAGCUAAGGUCCCAAAGUCAUGGUUAAGUGGGAAACGAUGUGGGAAGGCCCAGACAGCCAGGAUGUUGGCUUAGAAGCAGCCAUCAUUUAAAGAAAGCGUAAUAGCUCACUGGUCGAGUCGGCCUGCGCGGAAGAUGUAACGGGGCUAAACCAUGCACCGAAGCUGCGGCAGCGACRCUGAUGYGUUGUUGGGUAGGGGAGCGUUCUGUAAGCCUGCGAAGGUGGCCUGUGAGGGUUGCUGGAGGUAUCAGAAGUGCGAAUGCUGACAUAAGUAACGAUAAAGCGGGUGAAAAGCCCGCUCGCCGGAAGACCAAGGGUUCCUGUCCAACGUUAAUCGGGGCAGGGUGAGUCGACCCCUAAGGCGAGGCCGAAAGGCGUAGUCGAUGGGAAACGGGUUAAUAUUCCCGUACUUGGUGUUACUGCGAAGGGGGGACGGAGAAGGCUAUGUUGGCCGGGCGACGGUUGUCCCGGUUUAAGCGUGUAGGYKKGUKUUCCAGGYAAAUCCGGAAAAUCAAGGCUGAGGCGUGAYGACGAGGCACUACGGUGCUGAAGCAACAAAUGCCCUGCUUCCAGGAAAAGCCUCUAAGCAUCAGGUAACAUCAAAUCGUACCCCAAACCGACACAGGUGGUCAGGUAGAGAAUACCAAGGCGCUUGAGAGAACUCGGGUGAAGGAACUAGGCAAAAUGGUGCCGUAACUUCGGGAGAAGGCACGCUGACACGUAGGUGAAGUGAUUUACUCAUGGAGCUGAAGUCAGUCGAAGAUACCAGCUGGCUGCAACUGUUUAUUAAAAACACAGCACUGUGCAAACACGAAAGUGGACGUAUACGGUGUGACGCCUGCCCGGUGCCGGAAGGUUAAUUGAUGGGGUCAGCGCAAGCGAAGCUCCUGAUCGAAGCCCCGGUAAACGGCGGCCGUAACUAUAACGGUCCUAAGGUAGCGAAAUUCCUUGUCGGGUAAGUUCCGACCUGCACGAAUGGCGUAAUGAUGGCCAGGCUGUCUCCACCCGAGACUCAGUGAAAUUGAACUCGCUGUGAAGAUGCAGUGUACCCGCGGCAAGACGGAAAGACCCCGUGAACCUUUACUAUAGCUUGACACUGAACAUUGAGCCUUGAUGUGUAGGAUAGGUGGGAGGCUUUGAAGUGUGGACGCCAGUCUGCAUGGAGCCGACCUUGAAAUACCACCCUUUAAUGUUUGAUGUUCUAACGUGGACCCGUUACCCGGGUUGCGGACAGUGUCUGGUGGGUAGUUUGACUGGGGCGGUCUCCUCCUAAAGAGUAACGGAGGAGCACGAAGGUUGGCUAAUCCUGGUCGGACAUCAGGAGGUUAGUGCAAUGGCAUAAGCCAGCUUGACUGCGAGCGUGACGGCGCGAGCAGGUGCGAAAGCAGGUYAUAGUGAUCCGGUGGUUCUGAAUGGAAGGGCCAUCGCUCAACGGAUAAAAGGUACUCCGGGGAUAACAGGCUGAUACCGCCCAAGAGUUCAUAUCGACGGCGGUGUUUGGCACCUCGAUGUCGGCUCAUCACAUCCUGGGGCUGAAGUAGGUCCCAAGGGUAUGGCUGUUCGCCAUUUAAAGUGGUACGCGAGCUGGGUUUAGAACGUCGUGAGACAGUUCGAGUCUCCUGAAGGAACGUUGAAGACGACGACGUUGAUAGGCCGGGUGUGUAAGCGCAGCGAUGCGUUGAGCUAACCGGUACUAAUGAACCGUGAGGCUUAACCUU
This 2066-nucleotide ribosomal RNA is filed under the name Salmonella enterica. RNAcentral's name for it is "partial 23S ribosomal RNA". Lineage: Bacteria; Pseudomonadati; Pseudomonadota; Gammaproteobacteria; Enterobacterales; Enterobacteriaceae. The record is from RNAcentral.